Molecule: long non-coding RNA, 12859 nt
Organism: Lotus japonicus
Lineage: Eukaryota; Viridiplantae; Streptophyta; Magnoliopsida; Fabales; Fabaceae
Exons: 6
Source: RefSeq, a predicted model, not a curated record
GGUGAGGCUAAACUAGAUUAAUAUGAGGUUUGGUAGAAAAUAAUUAAGUUGAGAUUAGUAACAUGCUUAAUUAGGAUCAUUAGAGGAUUAAUUAAGGAAAAUGACUAAUGUUAAGUGUAGUUAAUCUUGAUUAAUUAGGACUAAUAUAGCUAAUUGUGGUUGAUUAGACUUAAUUAAGUUAACUGAUGAUAAUUGCUGGUAAAACCUAAUAAUGUAAGGACUAAAUUAGAUUAGAUGAUAGUAGAAAAGGAAUUAAGUAAUGAAUUAGUUAAGGUGAUUAAAUAAGGUGAAUGACUAAUGUUAUUGUGGGAUUAAUUGGUUAAGCUAAGAAUUAGUGAAGUUGUGGUUAAAUAAUGAAGUAAGUAAGAAAGUAAUUAGGGAAACGGUAACUUAAGUAAGCCAUAAUCAGUAAUAGAGAUAAAAUAGUUUAGUACAAGACAAAUGAACUAGGAUAUAAUAACUAGUUAACCUAAGUGUAGUUAACUAUGCUAAUUAGAAGUUUGCUAAAGUCUUUAAGAACAUAAUUCAACUUAGAUGACUAAGAAUAAUAAGUGGACUUAAUAAGGUAUCUAUGUGAAGUAGUUAAAGGAACCUUAGAAUAAUCAACUAAAGUAGAUGAUUAAUGAGAAAUCACUUAAUAAGUGCAUAUGCAUAUAGAACAAGUAGGAGCAAGACAUAAAUCAAGUAACCUAUAGACACUCUAGGAGUAGCGCUAUAACAUCAUAAAUCGUUGCAGAAUGAAUGAUUGUGCGAGAACUUAAUCAAAGAGAUCGUCACUAGGUAUCAUGAAGGAAAUGACGCCAGGACGAGGAAUCUCCUAACUUAUGUUUAAAAUGCAUUGGAUAUCCAGGUCAGCGGAGGACUGAGUUUACCUUCAUUAUAAGGGCUUGAGUGUGGCUUUAGUGCAUACUUUGGUUAUGUGUUUGGUUGGAUUAUGUGUUGAUUGAAUUGAUUGUCUGAUAUAUGCAUGACUUGAAUGAAUGAUUGUUUGAAUAACAUGCUUAUUGAAUGUAUGUCUAAUAUGCCAUAUGAUAAUGCUGAUUGUGAUGAACAGAUGUCUGACUUGUUUGGAAUGGAUGUGCAUGAUUGUAAUGUUGCACUGUUUAGAAAGGGAUUAUAAGUACACUAUGGGAUAUAGUGGUACUUUAGGUGAUAAAGCCUUUGGCUUGGACAUUGAAAGAGUGUGGCAUAGUGAUAACUUGAGCCGAGGAAAUUAUUAUAGUUUGAGCUCACAAGAAUGGACGCCUAUGCAAUCCAAAAAGGUUUCUUUUGAAAUAGUAGUCGUCAUCUUCAGGAGAUUCUCAUUUGAAAUGUUAGGUAGAUUUGAUAAAACCCUGAAGAUUAGGUUUACUCCUUUUGGUUAUCGUUUGGUUCAAAAAGGUUUCAAUAAAGGUAAAAGUGAAUGCAUAGAUGGACCCCCGAGGAUAGUGCUCAAGUUACCACGUACCAGGGACUAGUUGUCGGCGUGAGUGGGACAUGAUGUUGAAUGGGACGCAUCAUGAGCCACAAUAAAGUCGGGGACUAGCACCAAAAGGUGUGCCUUGUGGAAUUCAUCUUAGUUAUGAAUAUCCUUGAAUGAUAUAGAAGAAAUAAGGGGGCGUAUGUAUGGCAUAUGAAAACACAAGAAACAAUAAGGAGUAGGAAGGUACUGUCACUACCACUAGAGAGAGUGGGAAUACAGAGACGCCAAAGGUGGCCUUGUUCAGAGAUGAAUAGGCCCGGGACUUACACUGCGGUACACCUCUAUUGUCGGUUACGACGUGGAUCCCUGAGGUCGGGCUGGCAAGAAGUUUAAGGCAAAGAGUUGAGUCGUGUAUUUCUGUCGGAAAAGCUACUGAGCGUUCAUUGUCCGGUAAAGAGUGGACUGUAAGGAGUGUCCAUGUUCCCGGGACGACCUUCCGAAGAUUGUGAAGCUAAAAGCUUCGGGCCUUAAAACACACAUAUACAACCUAAAUAAUUUAAAAAGGUCAGGCGAGGAACCCUCUUCUCCCAUGAUCAACGAGGGAGAAGUCUGACUGAAGGAAGGGGUAAUAAGGUGGUAAACUCUCACGCUGCAUCAUAUUGUAUGUGUUUGAUGAUUGGUUUGUGAUGAUAUUAUGAUAUAAUAAUAUUGAUAUAUCUAGAAUAUGAAUUGUGUUUGGUCGACCGGCAUGUGACUCGAGUCGGUGCUACUAACACAUUCAUGUUCUUAUAUUGUUGGUAGCUCACUCCCUCCAGUGGUUAACAUUUUCAGGUAAAGGAUUGAGAUGGGCUUAGAUCGAGUUGGUUGCUGUUUGCCGAAGCUAUUAAGCCAUGGUAGCUGUCGGUGGUUAGGAGGAUAGGACCUAGUGAAGAAGCAAAGUUAAGUGUAAGGAUGUAGAAUUAGGUUUCAGGUUGUUUAGGCAUAGACGUUGUCUACUUUGAUUUGAAGUUUAAAAAGGGAUUAUGAUAUUCCGCCUUAAUCCUGAGAACAAGUUGAGUUGAGAUUUGAAAGUUUGAUGUACUUAAGGAAGUUAGUCAAGAGAGUUAAUAGUCAAAAAAAAAAAUCGUGACGUCUUCUUUCCACUCUCUGAGUUGACGUUACUCAGGAAGGGGGAAGGGGGUGUCACACUUCAUGAUUAAUUGAGUUGAUGCAAUCAAGGAGGGUGGUUGGUCCAGAGUAGGUGUAGGGAACAAGGGAGAGGUUUGGUUCAGGUGAUGAAGAUUGAUUGCCUCUUUCUACCUCAGAGGGAGAGCCAAUCUGCAGAGUCUGAUAUGUAGAUAUGUUGGCCUCAGGGUUUUGAUGAGAGGUUUCAGUCUCAGGGUUUUGUGAUUUGUCUGAGGAAUGGUUUGACACUGAUUCAACAUUCUCUGGAAGAGGAGAAUGAGGAAGAGGAGGUGGAGGAGGCAUUGAGGAGAGAGGGACCCCUUGGAUUGGGAAAUCCGGAGCAACCAGAGGUUCUGGCCUUGGUCCAGGGUAGCGGUUUGGACUGGGAACAGUAAUGAAAUUUGGAGGAAUUUCUGAAAUCAUUUCUCUUGCAAUUUGAAAGAAUUUCCGAUUGGCUUCAGAUUCAUUUGAGGGAGAGGCGAAAGAAACAUUGGUUGGAAAAGAAACAGAGGGACCAGGAGAGAGAAUUUCACGUUCAGAGUGAGUAUGUGUAUGUGGUUCAGAGGUGGUUUUAUCAGAGGCUUGCACUAUACCACAAAAAGGAUUAAGUAGCGGCUCAAAAGUAGCAGUUUUAAAAGAACCACUACCUUAUCACCUUUUUUUUUUUGAAAAUUGGUGUGAAGGGGCUAAGGUAGUGGUUAAAAAAACUACUGCAACCUUUAAGCAAGCAUUGGUAGUGGGCUAAAUAACAAAACAGGGAAGGAGGGCUUUGGCAACGGGUAAAAAAGAACUGCUACCUUAGAAUUUGCUACUUUAGCAUUUUAAAAUUAAAAAUUAAAAAAAGCUGGGUUUCUCACUUUCUCCACUAAUAGAUUGUGCACGCAUAGAUUCUUCCCGCCCUACUCCACACCUUGCUGUGCCGUCAUUGCAUCGAUCCUUUUGCCAUCUCGCGCCCUAACUGUCUCCUUUCCCCAUUUCUGAGCCGACCCACAACUCCUCUGCCAUCAUGCUCACCAGAAGAAGACGGAGAACGAACAACACCAGCACCAAUAGCAGUUGUAAGGCCUAAAACCCUUGAUUCCACAAACCCCAUCUCCAAAAUUCCCAUUUUUUAGGUCAGGGGUUUCCAAUUUAGGCGAAACUGGAAGAAUUGUAACAGGAACAUUGCGAUUGGGAUUGGAAUCAGCAGAGCGACACUUUCGACCUUCCCAAUCAGCGGUGAAAGAUGCGGUCAAAUUCGCUGUCGAUGCCCAUGACACGGAGGUUGGUUGGGUCGAGGAGGGAGUGGAAGGGAGGAGAGGAAGAAGUUGAAGAAGGAGGGGUUGGGGUUGGGGGCUCGUAAUCGAUGUUCCUCUUGGCGUUCAAGCGCUGCAACCGAGGUUGAGGUUGCUUCUUCGUCUUCCACUUCCACUCCAUUGUUACUGGUUAUGCUCUUGUUCUUCUUCUACUGCUUCUUCUCUGGCUGCUGGAAACUACUAGAAAGGAAUGUGCUGAGUUGUUUCCUCUUGGUUGCAUUCUUUCUUACCACUUUUACUUACUUACCCAUGUCAACCAGUGGGGUCUAUCACUAUACCACAAAAAGGAGUGUGGCUCGUAUUAACUGGAGCUAUUUUGUGUUGAGUUGCUGAGAUUGCCGGUUGCUUAUCUUGGCUGCAUUGUUUCUGCGACCCUGCAUUUUCCUUGCUGUGUCACUGCCUCUACACGUUAUUGAUUUGGUUGUGUUUUUCCCUUGUUUCUAUUUUCUGUUUUGUGCACUGUGUUUCUUUAUCUUUCUGUUUUGUUCCUUUUCUUCUCUGGCCUUGGCGGUCUUCACUUUGUGUUGGUCCCCCUUGGCUUUGCCCGUACUGCUCUUGAGCUUUUCAGCUCAUGUCUUAUGCAAUUAAGCUUUUGUUUCCAAAAAAAAAACUAAUAAAACACUAGUAUGAUAUAAUGAUACUAGUGUGCGGACAAUGUCUGCUUGGCAGCCGUAGGUGUUUAUCUUCCCGUUACUGAAAGAAAAUAGAUUAUUAGUAUGAAUCUAGACUUCUCCAAAUGGUUUUCAUGGAUUUUGUAAUGGGUGGAUAGGAUCGGUUCUGAUAUUAGAUGCAAAUUGUCUAUUUAAUGAAAAAAUGCACGAGCUCUUUUAGGAUUAUAUAAUGAUAGUGAUAUUUUGUCAUAGGUUCACAUUAUGCAGAAACUGUAAGCGCCUUUCCAAGAAGAAAAUACUUAUAUUCAUUCUGUAGGGAAGAAUUUUGAGGGCAAUGAGCUUGAGGAAUUGGGCGCAUAUGAGAAGGGUCGCCUUCAAAAUCAACUUCUCACAUGUUCUGCAAAACACUUACUACCUCUGAUACCAUCACUCACAGGGGAUUUUCUGUUCCUCGUAGAGCUGCUGAGGACUGUCUUCCUCCUUUGGAUUAUAAGCAGCAGAGACCCUCUCAAGAGCUUGUUGCGAAAGACCUGCAUGGUGUGGAGUGGAAAUUUUGUCAUAUUUAUAGAGGUUAACCAAGGUGGCAUCUACUCACUACUGGCUGGAGUAUUUUUGUAAGCCAAAAUAAUCUUGUUUCUGGUGAUGCAGUGUCUUUUCUAAGGGGCGAAAAUGGAGAACUAAGAUUGGGAAUCAGAAGAUCUGUUGGGCCUAGAAAUGGUCUUCCUGAAUCAACUGUUGGUAAUCAGAACAGUUAUCCCCAUAUCCUAUCUGUUGUGGCAAAUGCUAUAUCCACCAGAAGCAUGUUCUAUGUUUUCUACAGUCCAAGGUACUAAUACUAACUGAUCACGUAUUCUUGCUUUGCAAGAUGUAUGGAGUUCAUGCUGUAAUUAUUUUUUAUUUUGUUGUCAGUUGUCUCAAUGUAAGUAAAAUAAAACACUAGUUUCUUACUUUUUUUAUUAUUUCAAUUAAUUUUGUGCACGCUCUGGCAUGAUGCAAGGUUAGUGUGUGUGUGUAAUAGCACUAUGUGUAUGACAAUUGAUAAGAAUGAACUUGUGAAACUCCACUGUUGUGAAUGGAAACAAAUAGGGAACACUUUGAUUUGGACAGAAUGGCCCUAUCCUUCCUAGAAAUUAAGAUAAAAAUAUCUUUACAGCUUACUUAGUAGCUGUGGCCAUAACCAUAAGUUCAUAACCUAUUUAUUCAACCAAUUUUCUCCUUUUCUGAUUCCUGAUAAGUGGUGGUGGGAAAUGGGUUCCUUCUACUUAGAGCCUUUAAAAAAUAAACUAAAUAUGAUUCUUCCUCUGAUUGGUUUUCUCAUAAAUAAAAAAUCUUUUGCCAUAAGUUUUAAUUUUGUGUUGAUGUAACUUCUUCCUCUUUGGCUGCUAACUCAUGAGUCAUGAUUACUAUGUCGCUCUAGCAAUGAGUCUGUAACAUGUUUGAAUUUGCUAUAAUACAGAGCAAGUCAUUCAGAUUUUGUUGUUCCCUACCAAAAAUAUGCUAAAGGCAUACAGUUCAUUUAGAAAAAAAAAAUUAACGCAGCGGUUUGGAACCGCUGCCUUUGUUGUUAAAUAUUUAAAAAAGGCAGCGGUUACAACUGCUACGUUUGACGUUCACUGGAGUCAUUUGUGCAGCAUUGGUAGCGGUUCCUUAAAUAUCAACCGCUGCCUUUAGUGUUUAAAGGUAGCGGUUAUGAACCGCUACUGUUGCACUUACUCAAAGGCUACACCUUGCUUUUCUGCGGUUAGAACCACUACCUUUGCUAUAUUUUAACCGCUACCUUAUCUAUUUUUUGUACUAGUGUUGUGUUUCAAUAACUUGUGGUUCAAAGGUUUCUGGAUUGUAUGGAAGUAUAAUAGGUGAGGUGGAAGCAGAGGGUUUGUUUGCUUGGAGCAUUUUCCAGAGAGGUUCUUCCUCAAUGGAAGGUUGGAAGAAUGAAGCUCUAGGGGGUGAAGGAGGAGAGGUUGGUUGAUUGAUUGGAGUGGGUUCAUGAUUGGUUUGAUCAUGAAUUGCAUCAAGCAAAUUUAAAUCAUCAUCUGAAAGAACAACAAACUUACUUGAAGCUCUAGCUGCAGAUCUUGUGACUCUGGUAGAAGGUGCAGUUCUAGCAGGCUCCUGAGUUGGUUGCAGAUGAGUGACUCGAGUCACAAUCCUGACCUUCUUGGCCUUCUUCUGAGGCGGUGGUUCAUCAUCAUCAUUGUCAUCACCAUCAGAGGGAUCAUUCUCCUCAGAGGCUUCAACUUGCUUUCUUUUAGUCUUCCUUUUCCUAGGAGACUCAAAGUCAGGAGGAUCUGGAAGAUUCCUGAAGAAUUCAUCCACAUCAAUCUCAUAGCCUUGUCGCCUCAAAUCAUCAAGGUAGAUUCUGAUUGCCUCUGGGUCAUCAGCCUUGGACCAGAGGGGGUAGUCCUUCAGAUGGGUUCUUCUUCUUGGUGUUGCAUCAGCAACUUUGACCUCAGUCUUUGUUUCUAUCAGGCCCAUUCUCUUCAUGGAAGUAGGAGUGAAGACAUCCCCAGUAAAUGUUGUCAAGUCUUCAGUGCAUCCUAAUUUUUGCAAAUCCUUUAUCAGUUUGCUCUCAAUGAAGAAAUCAGAAAGCAGUCUGCCAAAUGGUAUGUAUUUGAUUGCAGACUUAGGUGAAGCAGUGGUUCUUGACUUCUUGAUGCACUCCUUCAGAUAGGAGAAGAGAAAGUAGGGCAGACAGACUUUGCGGUGCUCCUUGAUGAAGAAGAGUAACACCUUCUGGGUGAAGUUGAUGUAAUCUGGAGAGCUUCCCUUAGGCCUUUGAUUUAUGCAAUUCAGCAGAAUCAUGUGCUAGAUUCUCAAAUCAGGAUGAAGAUCCUUGGUCUUGCAGUCAUUUUUCCCUGGCUUCCAUGUAGAGUAGAGAGUCAUGUUGACUGCCUCUUUGGUUUUUGGUUUGACCUUUGAUUCCUGCAACUGGAAUCUGUAGCCAUUGUUUGUUUCUGCACCCAGAAGCCUUGCAAACGACCUCUCAGAAAUAAUGAUCCUCUUCCCUAUAACAAAUGACACCACUUGAUGCUCAUUGCAAUCAGCGUGUUUCCAGAAUUCCUUCACGAGUUUAUCAUAAACUGGACCAUGGAGUCUUUGGAAAUAUCCUUCCCAGCCUUGAGCUUGAGCUUCAGGACGAAGAUCAACUCCGUUGUCAGCAAUAUUGUCGAGGUCGAAUCUCCAUUCAGCAAGAACUUGGAGAUCUUCUGGAGGGAAGACGCAGGUAACUGCACAUCUUCUCUGAGAAAGGGGAACAACAUCUGCGUCUUGGACUUGUGCUUGAGCAUCCUCAGUCGAUCUGGGACGCAGAGCAGGACCCACUUGCCCUGUUGGAAGACCCACAACCAUUCUGGGAAAUACUCUUCCAUCGGCAGAAUCAGAUCGGUCAUUGGAGUCAGCUCUUUCAGAAUUUGCCAUUGUUGAAGGUAGAAGGUUUGGGUAGAAUAGAGAUGAGUGAAAGCGAGAGAGAAUCGAAGAGAAUGAGGGUUUUGUAAGUAAGAGAGAGAAGGAAAAGACGUGAAUGAUGGAGAACGUGUGUGCGUAGUGGUUUUAGAAAGUAACCGUUGUUGAUUGUAAAAGCAAAAGUAAAAUCAACGGUUGAAAAUUAAGGACAUCAUUAUGAACAGUUAAUACACACAUCACACGGUGGAGAUAAAGCACAUCAACACUCAAUACAACAGAUUGUCAGCACGGGCACAAGGAACGAUGUAUCAAAGUAACUGACACACGCUUACUGUCUCAUCUCAGAGUAAGCACCAAUGGGUACUUAUCUUCUGACUAAGUUACCUUCUGAACUAGACAUCUUCUGAUGAAGAAGUAUCAUAGUCAGAGGUUCUGAUCCAUCUUCAUACUGGACAAAAGUCCAUAUUCAGAUUUUUCAGUAUAAAUUUAAAUCUAUCCUCUGCUAAGGGCUUUGUGAAAAUAUCUGCCCAUUGAUGGUCAGUAUCAAUAAACUUCAGAAGAAGUAUGCCCUUCUGAACAUAAUCUCUAAUAAAAUGAUACUUCACCUCAAUGUGUUUAGCCCUUGAGUGUAAGAUUGGAUUCUUACUGAGUGAAAUUGCAGCAGUGUUAUCACAAUAAAUUGGAAUGCUGCUCUCAAGGAUUUGAUAAUCCUCUAGCAGUUGAGGGAACUUUGGGUAUUACUGAGCUAGAUUGUGAGGAAAACCUACCCCGCGAGGCUGGAGCAACUCGAGGUUAGGGCAACUUACUUACUAGCUAUUGUAUUGUAGGCGUCGAUAAAUUCGACUUGAAUAUUGUUUGAUAUUGAAUAUUGCUUGGAUAUUGUUUAUCGCUUUGAAUUGGAAAAUGUUUUCUGGAGGCUUCGGCCGAGUAAACUUAUAUGAGACGUGUGUCUCCGUUUUCUGAGAGGCUUCAGCCGUUUACUGGUUUCCGUCUUAUGAUUUCCGCACUGAAUUAUUGUUAUAUUGACAUUGUUAUUGAACUGUGCGCUUUGUCGCGACUACGGAGUAUGGAAUCAUGGAACGUCCUACUUGUAUUAUUUCGGGUUAAAUGAACAACCCUAGGCAAGUCCAAACCUGAGGUUUGAGAUUAAGCCGAUUGGAACACUUAGAUUUUCCCCGGGGGAUUACAUUUGGGGGGAUUUUGGCAAACUUGGAAUGAUUAGAAUUUGGAACUAGAGAUAUUAGGGAACUUAGUUUUCAAGAAUGAAACUCAUAACUUGACUAAUUCAACUUUAAAUAUUUUUAUUAACGAAUAAAACCAUAGGGAACUCAAGUGGAGAAAUGAUUGCGAAAGACGGGGAAAUGUCGACAAGUUUUGGAGCUGCUGAGAUUUGAUGGUCGUCACGAGGAUGAACCAUAGUGACCAGAGAUACGUCACUGAGUACGAUGCGUACUCCGGCUACUUACAGCCUAGUCGUAGAGUCGACUUUGACCUUCGGGUACUAUUGAAUUAAGAGUCGUAGCUAAACAUUAUAUGGUGAGGACGAUACCAUGUUUGGCUAACCAUAUUGCAUCAUGCAUACAUUCGGGGCUUGAGACGAUCGGAGGAUCGGACUUCGGUGAAGUUGAGACGGCCUCGGUCGGCUUCACGAAGGUUUGAGACAGUCAAAAGAUUGGCCUUCAUCGAAGAACACCAAGAGUGUAUCUUCGGCAUAGCAGGCAAAAUGGUUCAACCUAGAGGGGUUAGAAUUGAUCCGACUAUGCAUGGGUUUGUAAGUGACACCCGAGCGGAAAUGGUUAAACACUAGGCCGGUGUUAGGACUGACUCGAUAGUGCCCAUCCCAAUUGAAUUAUCCGGAUCAUUUGACACACAUUGCAAGCAUACAUGCACCCUGACUGGAAUUGUGUGCUAUUGUCUAUUGAAUUAUUGUUAGAGCCAAUAACAUGCUAGGAAUAUAUAUAAACAUAUAUAUAUCUAUACCCCAAUCACAUGUUGUUUGUAUAUUUACUCUAUUCCGUGAGUUGACCCUAGCACCUUGGCUUUGGUUUCAUGUUUGUGUUUGGGCGGUCGGCCUGCUGCUAGAUGUCGAUGGCAGAUUGGUUUUCGAUGGUCUCUCCCUCGGGGGGAUAAGGUUGAGCUGUUGUCCGACAUGCCCCCACCGCUUGGGUGAUUGAUCCUGUGGAUCAUCGGGCGACGUAUCGGGAAAGGGUCAUGGAGGACCGGACUGAUGAGCGUGGACUGUGGACCGGGCACUGGCCGGAGACCACCUUCACCACCUUCAUCUUCAUCUUACGACGAGGAUCCAUCUGAGAUCAAGGCUGAUACUGAGGCACCUGUCGCGCCACUUCCUGCUACUGCUGUCGAUCCUACCGAUGUUGCGUCGUCCUCGAGGCUCGUGGAGCCGAAGAGGGAGCGUGUUGUUCCGUCUGCCUCUAGGUUGUGUGACUCUGCAAAGAGUAAAAAAAAUUGAUUGUCUGCAGAGCGAUUUUCGCUCUAAUUGUUUGCGUUUACUACUUAAACUUUGACCUUAUGAUUAUUAUCCCUACUAGGACCUUAUUCGAAGUUGCUCGUGAUUUAACUAUAGAAGUUAUACGAGGUCUAGAAUAGCACGCUGGGCUAGGAAGUUGUUUUACCGAUGCACCGAUAAGGAAGCUAGGAUCUUAGGGAUAUUCCUUAUGGGUACUAUACGUAGGAUAUUAGGGCCUUUAGUUUCGAAUUGGAGACGUCAGAAUCUAGAGAGUAGGAGAGACUCAGAUGUGCCUGGUAUUCAGUGGUUCGAGAUUUCGCUGAUGUUUUUCCUGGAGAUGUACCUGGACUACCGCCAGUAUGCGACGUGGAGUUUGUGAUCGACAUUGUACCCGGAACCGGACCGAUUUCGAUCGCACCUUACCGUAUGGCACCUGCAGUGCUAGCAGGGUUGAAGUCUUAGUUGGAGGAUCUUUCGGCGAAAGGAUUUAUUCGACCAAGUGUCUCACCGUGGGGAGCGCCAGUGCUUUUGGUCAAGAAGAAAGAUGGAAAGUCAAGAUUGUGUGUGGACUAUCGACAGCUCAACAAGGCGACAUUCAAGAACAGAUACCCGUUGCCAAGAAUAGAUGAUUUGAUGGAUGAACUUCGAGGGGCUGCCGGAUUCUGUUGGUCAAUCUGCAAGUGCACAGAUAUCUCCGGGUUUUAAUUUAUCGAACCACAGGGAAUUGGAAUGUGAAUUCAGUUUAAGAGUCAAGUUCGAGGUUAAAAAGCGAGUAAAAUUCAGUUUUUAAGAUUGGUUGUUUCUUUGAUUAUGUAAAGAUAAUUGAACAAGUAGUAAAGUGAUCGAAAUUCAGAAAUGAGAUUGCCUUGGGUUCUUGUUCAACUAAUUCAGUUUUAGCAAACCUUCCUAUCCAAUAAAUCCCGAGUCUCUCCUUGAAGUUCUAGCCUAGAUAGUCAGCUAUCGAUGCCUCAGAAAGAAAACCCUUUCUAACCAAAAGAUAGGUUCAAUUCCUUGAUAACCUAAACAUUUGAUAGAAGCAAUAAGCAUACAAUUCAGGCCAACCAACCCCAACUCUUCCUCUAUUCCUAGCAGCAAGUAUAGAAGGAGUAAUCUCACAACAAGUCCCAAUUCUAUAACAAACUAUCGUUAUGAUUAUAGAAACGUAAGAAGCAAGCAUGCAUUCAAGCUUGAAAGAUUAAGCAUAGAAGUGAGAUUCAAGGGUUUACUCAGAAUAUUAUGAAUAGGAAAGGAAUUAAAAGCUAAAACAUCCAAAGUCUUACAAAGAACCCAAAACAAAGGGGUUUUUAGCCAAGCAUGGCUAUGGAAUCCAUACAAGAAAAGAAAGGCAAAACCUGGAUCAUAGGACUUGGAGGAAGCUCCUCAAGCUCUAGAACCCAAACCCUCUCUUCUAACUUAUUGAAAUAUGAUAAAAUGACAAAAGGUUCCAAGAGAAAUGACAAAAAUCCUAUUUAUAGGCAAAAUGAGUGAGUUUUUCAGUGUGUCGGGCGCUCAAGCGCCAGUGCCAGGCUCUCAAGCGCCAGCACCAAAUCCUGGCACAAAAAGUUGUAAGAUCAAGGUUUGAUCAGUGGUUGCAUCUCUAUGUUUUGAUGAUUACAACUAAGGUUUGUGAUGAUGAACAAUUGUGGUACCCUAACGUUUGUCUUUUUAAGCUGUGACAAACAGGUUCUGAAUCUGACCCAAGCCUAUUCGUUCAGAAGAAGAAGAACCAAGGGUUACUAAAAAGAGAGCUAUUUAAUCUAUCAUGUUCGUUCUGAACAGUGGCAAAUACUUCAGAAGCUCUGAAGAUGGAAGCUCUCAAGAAGCUCUGAAGAACUCAAGUCAGAAGUUCUGAAGACCAGAUGUUCCAGUGGAACGGUCCAGAAGCAGAAGACUCAAGUUCUGAAGACCUGCAAGAAGUUGGUUCUGAAGACCCAAGCUAUUCUAGCUCUGACGAUCAGAAGUUCUGAGGAACUUGUUCAGUAGCAGAAGUUGCAAGGUCAGAAGAAUCCAAGCUUCAAUCUGACGAUGAUCAGAAGCUUCACCAACGUUCAUCUGAAGCUCCUUCAUCUCAAGUCAACUGGUGAAAGGACAGGUCGCUUUCACAAUACAACGUCGUACAAGUCUCAGUCUGUCCGCCACCUACCUUGUACAGCCUAGCAGUCUGAUAUUACAGAAUUGCCACUCCAACGGAUAAAACCCUAGCAACGGCUACAUCACAAGUCUUGGAGUAUAUAAAGGCUGAAGGAAGAAGAAAGAGGCCAAGAAACUUUGCUGAAAAUAUUCAACAUAUACGAACCAUUCUCUUAGCAUUAUUUCUUCACUGUUCUUCAACAUCUGAGUUUACUAUUCGCUUGUUAGAAGCACUCAUUGUAAACCUGAAACCUUUUACAUCAUAUUGUAAAGUUCAUCAAGAGACCAAGGUUGGUCGGAUCUUGAGAGGACUGAAUCAAGGCUGAUUCAGUAUUUAGCUAGUCUUAAGAGGAUCGGUAGAUCAGCUUCUUAAGAGGAUACUAGUGAG